Molecule: ribosomal RNA, 393 nt
Filed under: uncultured bacterium
Lineage: Bacteria
Description: partial 16S ribosomal RNA
Rfam family: Bacterial small subunit ribosomal RNA
Source: RNAcentral
AUACGGAGGAUCCGAGCGUUAUCCGGAUUUAUUGGGUUUAAAGGGAGCGUAGGUGGCUUGUUAAGUCAGUUGUGAAAGUUUGCGGCUCAACCGUAAAAUUGCAGUUGAAACUGGCAGUCUUGAGUACAGUAGAGGUGGGCGGAAUUCGUGGGGUAGCGGUGAAAUGCUUAGAUAUCACGAAGAACUCCGAUUGCGAAGGCAGCUCACUAGACUGUUACUGACACUGAUGCUCGAAAGUGUGGGUAUCAAACAGGAUUAGAUACCCUGGUAGUCCACACAGUAAACGAUGAAUACUCGCUGUUUGCGAUAUACAGUAAGCGGCCAAGCGAAAGCAUUAAGUAUUCCACCUGGGGAGUACGCCGGCAACGGUGAAACUCAAAUGAAUUGACGGGG